Non-coding RNA from Triticum aestivum (bread wheat), 123 nucleotides. NCBI's taxonomy places the organism in Eukaryota, Viridiplantae, Streptophyta, Magnoliopsida, Poales, Poaceae. The record is from Rfam.
GAAGUACUCCCUUCAUCCAGAAUUACUUGUCGCACAAAUGGAUAGAAAUUGAUGUAAUUAGAACUAAAAUACAUCUAGAUACAUCCAUUUCUCUGACAAGUAUUUCUGGACGGAGAGUACAUC